UACGAAGGGGGCUAGCGUUGUUCGGAAUCACUGGGCGUAAAGGGCGCGUAGGCGGCUUUAUAAGUCGGGGGUGAAAGCCUGUGGCUCAACCACAGAAUUGCCUUCGAUACUGUAGAGCUUGAGACCGGAAGAGGUAAGUGGAACUGCGAGUGUAGAGGUGAAAUUCGUAGAUAUCCGCAAGAACACCAGUGGCGAAGGCGGCUUACUGGUCCGGUUCUGACGCUGAGGCGCGAAAGCGUGGGGAGCAAACAGG
RNAcentral lists this ribosomal RNA (253 nucleotides) under uncultured bacterium. RNAcentral describes it as "partial 16S ribosomal RNA". It matches the Rfam family "Bacterial small subunit ribosomal RNA", at positions 524 to 776 of the family's 1533-position model. The record is from RNAcentral.